AUACGUAGGGGGCGAGCGUUGUCCGGAAUGACUGGGCGUGAAGGGCGUGUAGGCGGCCGAUUAAGUCUGGAGUGAAAGUCCUGUUUUUAAGAUGGGAAUUGCUUUGGAUACUGUCGGGCUUGAGUGCAGGAGAGGUAAGUGGAAUUCCCAGUGUAGCGGUGAAAUGCGUAGAGAUUGGGAGGAACACCAGUGGCGAAGGCGACUUACUGGACUGUAACUGACGCUGAGGCGCGAAAGUGUGGGGAGCAAACAGGAUUAGAUACCCUGGUAGUCCACACUGUAAACGAUGAAUGCUAGGUGUAGGGGGUAUCGACCCCUUCUGUGCCGCAGUCAACACAAUAAGCAUUCCGCCUGGGGAGUACGGCCGCAAGGUUGAAACUCAAAUGAAUUGACGGGG
RNAcentral lists this ribosomal RNA (397 nucleotides) under uncultured bacterium. RNAcentral's name for it is "partial 16S ribosomal RNA". It matches the Rfam family "Bacterial small subunit ribosomal RNA", at positions 523 to 918 of the family's 1533-position model. The record is from RNAcentral.